Molecule: ribosomal RNA, 441 nt
Filed under: uncultured bacterium
Lineage: Bacteria
Description: partial 16S ribosomal RNA
Rfam family: Bacterial small subunit ribosomal RNA
Source: RNAcentral
CCUACGGGAGGCAGCAGUAGGGAAUCUUUCACAAUGGGCGAAAGCCUGAUGGAGCAACGCCGCGUGCAGGAUGAAGGCCUUCGGGUUGUAAACUGCUUUUAUAAGCGAGAAAUAUGAUGGUAACUUAUGAAUAAGGAUCGGCUCACUACGUGCCAGCAGCCGCGGUCAUACGGAGGAUCCGAGCAUUAUCCGGAGUGACUGGGUGUAAAGAGUUGCGUAGGUGGCAUAAUAAGUAGCUAGUGAAAUCUGGUGGCUCAACCAUUCAGACUAUUAGCUAAACUGUUAAGCUCGAGACCGGUAGGGGUAACUGGAAUUUCUAGUGUAGGAGUGAAAUCCGUAGAUAUUAGAAGGAACACCAAUAGCGUAGGCAGGUUGCUGGGACGGUUCUGACACUAAGGCACGAAAGCGUAGGGAGCAAACGGGAUUAGAUACCCCUGUAUC